UACGGAGGGGGCGAGCGUUGUUCGGAAUUACUGGGCGUAAAGGGCGCGUAGGCGGCCUGUUGCGUCGGGUGUGAAAGCCCUGGGCUCAACCUGGGAGGUGCACUCGAAACGGGCAGGCUCGAAACCGAGAGAGGAUCGUGGAAUUCCCAGUGUAGAGGUGAAAUUCGUAGAUAUUGGGAAGAACACCAGAGGCGAAGGCGGCGAUCUGGCUCGGAUUUGACGCUGAGGCGCGACAGCGUGGGGAGCAAACAGG
This 253-nucleotide ribosomal RNA is filed under the name Rhodospirillales bacterium. Its description in RNAcentral is "partial 16S ribosomal RNA". It matches the Rfam family "Bacterial small subunit ribosomal RNA", at positions 524 to 776 of the family's 1533-position model. The record is from RNAcentral. Lineage: Bacteria; Pseudomonadati; Pseudomonadota; Alphaproteobacteria; Rhodospirillales. RNAcentral also lists the same sequence under 1 other name.